RNAcentral lists this ribosomal RNA (303 nucleotides) under uncultured bacterium. RNAcentral's name for it is "partial 16S ribosomal RNA". It matches the Rfam family "Bacterial small subunit ribosomal RNA", at positions 507 to 809 of the family's 1533-position model. The record is from RNAcentral.
AGCAGUCGCCGCGGUAAAACGUAGGGUGCAAGCGCUAAUCGGAAUUACUGGGCGUAAAGCGUGCGCAGGCGGUUAUAUAAGUCAGAUGUGAAAUCCCCGGGCUCAACCUGGGAACUGCAUUUGAGACUGUAUGGCUAGAGUGUGUCAGAGGGGGGUAGAAUUCCACGUGUAGCAGUGAAAUGCGUGGAUAUGUGGAGGAAUACCGAUGGCGAAGGCAGCCCCCUGGGAUAAUACUGACGCUCAUGCACGAAAGCGUGGGGAGCAAACAGGAUUAGAUACCCCAGUAGUCCCUGUCUCUUAUAA